RNAcentral lists this ribosomal RNA (259 nucleotides) under uncultured cyanobacterium. Its description in RNAcentral is "partial 16S ribosomal RNA". It matches the Rfam family "Bacterial small subunit ribosomal RNA", at positions 460 to 718 of the family's 1533-position model. Lineage: Bacteria; Bacillati; Cyanobacteriota. The record is from RNAcentral.
AAGAACACAAUGACGGUACCUGAGGAAUAAGCAUCGGCUAACUCCGUGCCAGCAGCCGCGGUAAUACGGAGGAUGCAAGCGUUAUCCGGAAUGAUUGGGCGUAAAGCGUCCGCAGGUGGCAAUGYAAGUCUGCUGUUAAAGAGUGAGGCUCAACCUCAUAAGAGCAGUGGAAACUACAUAGCUAGAGUACGUUCGGGGCAGAGGGAAUUCCUGGUGUAGCGGUGAAAUGCGUAGAGAUCAGGAAGAACACCGGUGGCGA